GAGGCCCCGUGAGGACACGCGCGGUGGUGGCGGUGGCGGCGGGCGCGCGGCCGCAGCCGGAGGAGGACGGCGGGAGCGUGCGAGGAGCUGGCUCGGUUAUUUCGGAGCGAGAGCCGAGGCCGGGGGAAGUUCCUGCGGAGUGCUCAAGGGCAGAAGAGGUGCCGCGUCCCGAAGAGGGGAAGCGGAGAAGUUUGCUGCUGUCCGGGUCGCCUCGCGACGCUGAGAGAAUCGCCCAGCCCUCCGCAGCCGCCCAGCGAGAACCGGAGCUGCGGCCCCGCACCGGCGUGAGUCCAGCUGAGCUGACACGCCGAGCCGGUUGUGCCUUUCCGAGGGAGGAAUGUGCCGUGGAAUCCAAACUUUGGAAAACGUCCCACCCGAAUUCCCAGCGAGCAGCAAGGAGACCAGAGCGUCGAUGGAGCCACCGUUAGUUGCGGGAGGGCUGUCCCCAAGAGGAAUUCAUCACUGUCGUCCGCUGGGAGGGACCAACCUUGAAAUGGGGUUGGUGGAGAGAGGGAUGGAGAAGAGCCGGCGUGCUUAUAAAUAACAAAACUUAGCUAUGAACCCUUCCGAUUCCCAAGUGGGGAAGAUAGGGGUAAAAUUCUAAGUGACUUCUCGCUCCGAAGAGGGAUACCACAAAAAGCGGAGCGCAGGGUACUUGGCGUAUAAUAAGCCAUCAAUAAUUUAUGGGUGAAAUUGAGAGCCAAAUAUAAGAUGAUAAACUGAAGAAUAAAAACAGCUGACAAAUACUGUAUAGAAAAGAUUGCGUUGGAAUCAUAACUGUGGAUUGGAAGUGAUGUUAAGGAUUAUUGAAUUGAGUAUUUGUAGCUGAAUUUCUGCUGGCAUUUCUAUCAGUGGGGAAAGCCCUCACGGCUCCAUAGGUAAUUUUUGUUAGGGGAGGAAGAAGUGUUGUUCUGUCACCCACCCCCAGGCAAAGAGUCGCUGAUCUAAUUCUCCAUUUCUUUCUUUCUUUCUUUGAAACGGAGUUUCGUUCUUGUUGCCCAGGCUGGAGUGCAGUGCAGUGCUGCGAUCUCGGCUCAUUGCAACCUCCACCUCCCGGGUUCGAGGGAUCCUCUGCCUCAGCCUCCCAAGUAGCUGGGAUUACAGGCGCACGCCACCGCACCCGGGUAAUUUUGUAUUUUUAAUAGAGACAGGGUUUCACCAUGUUGGCCAGGCUGUUUGAACUCCUGACCUCAAGUGAUCCGCCCGCCUCGGCCUCUCAAAGUGCUGGGAUUACAGGCGUGAGCCACCAAGUCCUGCCUAAUCUCCUUUUUAUAGUUGAGGAAAGCUAGUAACUUGACUGAAGUCUCAUAUAUUAGAGCUGUAACUGAAGUUUUUCAGUGUCUCAAUUCUGCAACUAUUCGUUUUUCUAUCACAUCACUGUUUGGCAUAUAUAUAGCAGGAAAAGGAAAGGCUGGAAAUUAGUUGACCACACACUGAUUAAGCUUGAAACAUAUUUCUACUGGAGAAAAAAAGUUACUGUAAUUUUGGCAUAGGCAUCACAUAUUGCUGGAGUGGAAAGACCGAUGCACUCAGGUCCUGCUUUCUAUAAGCUGUGACCUCGGGCCAGUCACUCCAUUUCUCCUGAACUAGAUCACUGAUGAUCUGUUGAAAGAAAAAAUAUGGCUAGUAAUGCCUUAAUUACCUCACAGAGGUUUUACAAGGAGCAAAAAGACAAUGUAUUUUUAAAUGUACUUUGUAGAAGGUGUGUAUUGUCGAGACAAUACAGCAGUGAAGAGAAGGCAUGCAAAGCUGUCUUGUUGGAGUCUGGCUAAAGAGCACCAAAGCAGCCUGGUGUGGGAUGUCCUCUGGGGGCCACCUGGACUUGCUAUGUUAACAUGGAGGGACUAGGCAGGGGUAUGAAGAAGGAAGCCCAGCAGAGCAGGAGGCAGCAGCAGCAAUGAGAGAUUGGUUAUCCAUAUGACUUGGAUCUGCGUCCCCACCCAAAUCUCAUGUUAAAUUGUAAUCCCCAGUGUUGGAGGUGGGGACUGGUGGGAGGUGACUGGAUCAUGGGGGUGGAUUUCUUAUGAAUGGUUUAGUACCAUCCACUUGGUAUUGUCCCCGUGGUAAUGAGUGAGUUCUUAAGAAAUCUGGUCAUUGAAAAAUAUGUGGCACCUCCUCCCUCUCUCUUUUGCUCCUGCCCCGGCUAUAUGAUGCAAUUUGUCUUCAGCCAUGAUUGUAAGUUUCCCGAGGCCUCCCCAGAAGCUGAGCAGGUGCCAGCAUCAUGCUUCCUGUACAGCCUGCCUUCCAUGAGCCAAUUAAACUUCUUUCCUUUACAAAUUA
RNAcentral lists this non-coding RNA (2280 nucleotides) under Pan troglodytes (chimpanzee). The record is from RNAcentral. Lineage: Eukaryota; Metazoa; Chordata; Mammalia; Primates; Hominidae.